Molecule: small nuclear RNA, 104 nt
Organism: Meriones unguiculatus (Mongolian gerbil)
Lineage: Eukaryota; Metazoa; Chordata; Mammalia; Rodentia; Muridae
Source: Ensembl
GUAUUCUCUUUGGCAGCACAAAUAUUAAAACUGGAAUGAUACAGAGAUUAGCAUGGCCCUAGCGGAAAAAUAACAUGCAAAUUCAUGAACUGUUCCGUAAUUUA